This 492-nucleotide ribosomal RNA is filed under the name uncultured bacterium. RNAcentral describes it as "partial 16S ribosomal RNA". It matches the Rfam family "Bacterial small subunit ribosomal RNA", at positions 29 to 507 of the family's 1533-position model. The record is from RNAcentral.
AGUGAACGCUGGCGGUAGGCCUAACACAUGCAAGUCGAACGGCAGCACAGUAAGAGCUUGCUCUUACGGGUGGCGAGUGGCGGACGGGAGAGGAAUACAUCGGAAUCUACUUUUUCGUGGGGGUUAACGUAGGGAAACUUACGCUAAUACCGCAUACGACCUACGGGUGAAAGCAGGGGAUCUUCGGACCUUGCGCGAUUGAAUGCGCCGAUGUCGGAUUAGCUAGUUGGCGGGGUAAAGGCCCACCAAGGCGACGAUCCGUAGCUGGUCUGAGAGGAUGAUCAGCGACAUUGGAGCUGAGACACGGACCAGACUACUACGGGAGGCAGCAGUGGGGAAUAUUGGACAAUGGGCGCAAGCCUGAUCCAGCCAUACCGCGUGGGUGAAGAAGGCCCUCGGGUUGUAAAGCCCUUUUGUUGGGAAAGAAAAGCAGCAGGUUAAUACCCCGCUGUUCUGACGGUACCCAAAGAAUAAGUACCGGCUAACUUCGUG